This 253-nucleotide unclassified non-coding RNA is filed under the name uncultured Thermoanaerobacterales bacterium. Its description in RNAcentral is "contains 16S-23S intergenic spacer region". It matches the Rfam family "Bacterial small subunit ribosomal RNA", at positions 524 to 776 of the family's 1533-position model. The record is from RNAcentral. Lineage: Bacteria; Bacillati; Bacillota; Clostridia; Thermoanaerobacterales.
UACGUAGGGAGCAAGCGUUAUCCGGAAUCACUGGGCGUACAGGGUGCGCAGGCGGGCAUGUAGGUCUGACGUGAAAGCCCCGGGCUUAACCCGGGAAAUGCGUCGGAAACCCCAUGUCUUGAGGACCAGAGAGGAAGGCGCAAUUCGUGGUGUAGCGGUGAAAUGCGUAGAUAUCACGAGGAACAUCAGUGGCGAAGGCGGCCUUCUGGAUGGUUCCUGACGCUGAGGUACGAAAGCAUGGGUAGCCAACGGG